This 483-nucleotide ribosomal RNA is filed under the name uncultured bacterium. RNAcentral describes it as "bacterial SSU rRNA". It matches the Rfam family "Bacterial small subunit ribosomal RNA", at positions 30 to 507 of the family's 1533-position model. The record is from RNAcentral.
AUUGAACGCUGGCGGAAUGCUUUACACAUGCAAGUCGAACGGCAGCACGGGGCAACCUGGUGGCGAGUGGCGAACGGGUGAGUAAUACAUCGGAACGUGCCCAAGUCGUGGGGGAUAACGUAGCGAAAGUUACGCUAAUACCGCAUACGAUCUACGGAUGAAAGCGGGGGAUCGCAAGACCUCGCGCGAAUGGAGCGGCCGAUGUCAGAUUAGGUAGUUGGUGGGGUAAAGGCUCACCAAGCCAACGAUCUGUAGCUGGUCUGAGAGGACGACCAGCCACACUGGAACUGAGACACGGUCCAGACUCCUACGGGAGGCAGCAGUGGGGAAUUUUGGACAAUGGGCGCAAGCCUGAUCCAGCCAUUCCGCGUGCAGGAUGAAGGCCUUCGGGUUGUAAACUGCUUUUGUACGGAACGAAAAGGUCCUGGUUAAUACCUGGGGCUCAUGACGGUACCGUAAGAAUAAGCACCGGCUAACUACGUG